AGAGUUUGAUCCUGGCUCAGGACGAACGCUGGCGGCGUGCCUAAUACAUGCAAGUCGAACGCUUCUUUCCUCCCGAGUGCUUGCACUCAAUUGGAAAGAGGAGUGGCGGACGGGUGAGUAACACGUGGGUAACCUACCCAUCAGAGGGGGAUAACACUUGGAAACAGGUGCUAAUACCGCAUAACAGUUUAUGCCGCAUGGCAUAAGAGUGAAAGGCGCUUUCGGGUGUCGCUGAUGGAUGGACCCGCGGUGCAUUAGCUAGUUGGUGAGGUAACGGCUCACCAAGGCCACGAUGCAUAGCCGACCUGAGAGGGUGAUCGGCCACACUGGGACUGAGACACGGCCCAGACUCCUACGGGAGGCAGCAGUAGGGAAUCUUCGGCAAUGGACGAAAGUCUGACCGAGCAACGCCGCGUGAGUGAAGAAGGUUUUCGGAUCGUAAAACUCUGUUGUUAGAGAAGAACAAGGACGUUAGUAACUGAACGUCCCCUGACGGUAUCUAACCAGAAAGCCACGGCUAACUACGUGCCAGCAGCCGCGGUAAUACGUAGGUGGCAAGCGUUGUCCGGAUUUAUUGGGCGUAAAGCGAGCGCAGGCGGUUUCUUAAGUCUGAUGUGAAAGCCCCCGGCUCAACCGGGGAGGGUCAUUGGAAACUGGGAGACUUGAGUGCAGAAGAGGAGAGUGGAAUUCCAUGUGUAGCGGUGAAAUGCGUAGAUAUUAGGAGGAACACCAGUAGCGAAGGCGGCUUUCUGGACUGUAACUGACACUGAGGCACGAAAGCAUGGGGAGCAAACAGGAUUAGAUACCCUGGUAGUCCACGCCGUAAACGAUGAGUACUA
RNAcentral lists this ribosomal RNA (839 nucleotides) under uncultured bacterium. RNAcentral's name for it is "bacterial SSU rRNA". It matches the Rfam family "Bacterial small subunit ribosomal RNA", at positions 8 to 818 of the family's 1533-position model. The record is from RNAcentral.